AGAGUUUGAUCCUGGCUCAGGACGAACGCUGGCGGCGUGCCUAAUACAUGCAAGUAGAACGCUGAAGAGAGGAGCUUGCUCUUCUUGGAUGAGUUGCGAACGGGUGAGUAACGCGUAGGUAACCUGCCUUGUAGCGGGGGAUAACUAUUGGAAACGAUAGCUAAUACCGCAUAACAAUGGAUGACACAUGUCAUUUAUUUGAAAGGGGCAAUUGCUCCACUACAAGAUGGACCUGCGUUGUAUUAGCUAGUAGGUGAGGUAACGGCUCACCUAGGCGACGAUACAUAGCCGACCUGAGAGGGUGAUCGGCCACACUGGGACUGAGACACGGCCCAGACUCCUACGGGAGGCAGCAGUAGGGAAUCUUCGGCAAUGGGGGCAACCCUGACCGAGCAACGCCGCGUGAGUGAAGAAGGUUUUCGGAUCGUAAAGCUCUGUUGUAAGUCAAGAACGAGUGUGAGAGUGGAAAGU
RNAcentral lists this ribosomal RNA (471 nucleotides) under Streptococcus sp. oral clone BP2-58. Its description in RNAcentral is "bacterial SSU rRNA". It matches the Rfam family "Bacterial small subunit ribosomal RNA", at positions 8 to 463 of the family's 1533-position model. Lineage: Bacteria; Bacillati; Bacillota; Bacilli; Lactobacillales; Streptococcaceae. The record is from RNAcentral.